AACGCACUCUGCACUUGUCGGUAACCCCGACGAGUCUGCCUGUUUGAGUAUCGGUAUCAUAACUUCAAGCCUCCCCCUUCCCUCGCUUGCUUUUUGUGCGUGCGCAGGAGGGGGGUGGUCUUGGUUCUGGGCCUUUUUCCGGUGUGACCUUUCCGCUCGCGGCACGUGUCCUCCGGUGGCCUUAAAUGCAAGAGCGCGCAGCGUACCUUGCCUGGGUCGUUUGCCACCAGCGGUGUUUCGGUCGGGUCCCUAUAUCUCGGGUCUUGUCGUUCUUGCGCACCGAUGGGGUCAUGGUAAACUUCACUUUGGUAACAGGCCUGGUGCUAGCCGCGUGUGGUCCAUCGCAAGAUGACGCGCGCCUUGUGCAUGCGCACACAGAACUCGAUCUCAAAUCAGGUAGGGAUACCCGCUGAACUUAA
This 419-nucleotide unclassified non-coding RNA is filed under the name uncultured fungus. Its description in RNAcentral is "partial contains internal transcribed spacer 2 and large subunit ribosomal RNA". Lineage: Eukaryota; Fungi. The record is from RNAcentral.